GACGAACGCUGGCGGCGUGCUUAACACAUGCAAGUCGAACGGUAAGGCCCCAGCUUGCUGGGGUACACGAGUGGCGAACGGGUGAGUAACACGUGGGUGACCUGCCCCGCACUUCGGGAUAACCCUGGGAAACUGGGGCUAAUACCGGAUAGGACCUCACCCUGCGUGGGGGGGGGAAAGUUUUUCGGUGUGGGAUGGACGCGCGGCCUAUCAGCUUGUUGGUGGGGUAAUGGCCUACCAAGGCGGCGACGGGUAGCCGGCCUGAGAGGGUGGACGGCCACAUUGGGACUGAGACACGGCCCAGACUCCUACGGGAGGCAGCAGUGGGGAAUAUUGCACAAUGGGCGGAAGCCUGAUGCAGCGACGCCGCGUGGGGGAUGACGGCCUUCGGGUUGUAAACUCCUUUCACCAUUGACGAAGGGUGUCUGACGGUAGUUGGUGAAGAAGCACCGGCUAACUACGUG
RNAcentral lists this ribosomal RNA (464 nucleotides) under uncultured bacterium. RNAcentral describes it as "partial 16S ribosomal RNA". It matches the Rfam family "Bacterial small subunit ribosomal RNA", at positions 28 to 507 of the family's 1533-position model. The record is from RNAcentral.